UACGAAGGGGGCGAGCGUUGUUCGGAUUUACUGGGCGUAAAGGGCGUGCAGGCGGUCUUGCAAGUCAGGCGUGAAAGCCCCGGGCUUAACCUGGGAAUUGCGCUUGAUACUCUGAGACUGGAGUACGGGAGAGGAGAGUGGAAUUCCCAGUGUAGAGGUGAAAUUCGUAGAUAUUGGGAAGAACACCAGUGGCGAAGGCGGCUCUCUGGACCGUAACUGACGCUGAGGCGCGAAAGCGUGGGGAGCAAACAGG
Molecule: ribosomal RNA, 253 nt
Filed under: uncultured bacterium
Lineage: Bacteria
Description: partial 16S ribosomal RNA
Rfam family: Bacterial small subunit ribosomal RNA
Source: RNAcentral